RNAcentral lists this ribosomal RNA (333 nucleotides) under uncultured Coriobacteriales bacterium. RNAcentral's name for it is "partial 16S ribosomal RNA". Lineage: Bacteria; Bacillati; Actinomycetota; Coriobacteriia; Coriobacteriales. The record is from RNAcentral.
GGAGUCUGGACCGUGUCUCAGUUCCAGUGUGGCCGAUCACCCUCUCAGGUCGGCUACCUAUCGCAGGCUUGGUGGGCCGUUACCCCACCAACUACCUAAUAGGACGCGAGCUCACCUCAGACCGGAUUGCUCCUUUGACCCCUCAACCAUGCGGUUCUGUGGUCUCAUGCGGUAUUAGUGCAGCUUUCGCUGCGUUAUCCCCCUCGUCUGAGACAGAUUGCUCACGCGUUACUCACCCGUCCGCCGCUAGAACUAUAAAUCUUCCGGCCGAAGCCUUCCGUUCUAUAGUCCCCGCUCGACUUGCAUGUGUUAAGCACGCCGCCAGCGUUCAUC